GCCUUGUCUAAGGGAAGUGGUGUUUACAACUAAUGAUCAUAACCAGUUACAGAUUUCUUUGUAUCUUCUGCACUCCCACUGCUUCACUUGACUAGUCUUAA
Aotus nancymaae (Ma's night monkey) is the source of this 101-nucleotide unclassified non-coding RNA. It matches the Rfam family "Y RNA". From Rfam's summary of the family: Y RNAs are components of the Ro ribonucleoprotein particle (Ro RNP), in association with Ro60 and La proteins. The Y RNAs and Ro60 and La proteins are well conserved, but the function of the Ro RNP is not known. In humans the RNA component can be one of four small RNAs -- hY1, hY3, hY4 and hY5. NCBI's taxonomy places the organism in Eukaryota, Metazoa, Chordata, Mammalia, Primates, Aotidae. The record is from Ensembl.